Molecule: ribosomal RNA, 467 nt
Filed under: uncultured bacterium
Lineage: Bacteria
Description: partial 16S ribosomal RNA
Rfam family: Bacterial small subunit ribosomal RNA
Source: RNAcentral
GACGAACGCUGGCGGCGUGCUUAACACAUGCAAGUCGAACGGAAAGGCCUCUUUCGGGGGGUACUCGAGUGGCGAACGGGUGAGUAACACGUGAGUAACCUGCCCUUGACUUUGGGAUAACUUCGGGAAACUGGGGCUAAUACCGGAUAGGAGCUCCUGCUGCAUGGUGGGGGUUGGAAAGUUUCGGCGGUUGGGGAUGGACUCGCGGCUUAUCAGCUUGUUGGUGGGGUAGUGGCUUACCAAGGCUUUGACGGGUAGCCGGCCUGAGAGGGUGACCGGCCACAUUGGGACUGAGAUACGGCCCAGACUCCUACGGGAGGCAGCAGUGGGGAAUAUUGCACAAUGGGUGGAAGCCUGAUGCAGCAACGCCGUGUGCGGGAUGACGGCCUUCGGGUUGGAAACCGCUUUCGCUCAUGACGAAGCUUUGUGUGACGGUAGUGGGUAAAGAAGCACCGGCUAACUACGUG